This is an RNA transcript of Nematostella vectensis (starlet sea anemone), 5133 nucleotides long. It is a transcript of the gene named protein fantom-like, with no coding region annotated. Lineage: Eukaryota; Metazoa; Cnidaria; Anthozoa; Actiniaria; Edwardsiidae. The record is from RefSeq and is a predicted model, not a curated record. The transcript has 42 exons.
CAUGCGCAAAUAAAAUAGUUUGAACAAAAAUGGCGGCUAUUUCUGGCCGUAUUCGUUCAUAACAACUCCUGGGCCCAAAACCUUUUAAACCAUAAGAAUAGAGCACAAUACAGAUCAGAAACAUGGGUGGAGCAAUAUCACUGCCGUCCUUUCGAGCCUAGGUUUUUCUACUACUAUGAUAUGAGUUUGGUUCGUUUUGUCAGUUGUUGUUAUGAUAACACUACUGCAGGGGUACGACACAUUUGACAGUGGUGAUUAGAACAGAUGCCCGCUUCUAGCAUGGACUCGUACACCGCUGCAAAUCAGGAAGCUGAUGCAGACGGGAGACCUUUCAGUGAAGUCCAUGCCAAGCAACUGAUCUCCAAGAUCAGUAGAGAAGAACUAGAAGACAAAUUCCUCAGGCUUCAAGAGGAAAACACCGAACUAAAGAAAUAUGCCAGAAAACAGGAGGAAAAAAUUAAAAAGAUGGCAACCAAGCUUUUGCGGCUUGUGUCAGACAAGAAGAAGAGGGAACUUGCUGAUGGAGUUCCCAAAGGCAAAGAUAUUGAGGCGGAGGAAAAGAUAGCAGAUUUGAAUGACAAAAUAAUAGAAUUAGAAAAGCAGAAUGGCCUUUUAAAAAACAAGCUGACUGUUGCCAAGCAACAGAUACAGACCCAAAGUAAAAGAACCACUCCCUAUGACAAUGUGACACCACGGAUCAACACGGGCUUGCAUCAUGUUAGAACACCCUCUGGUAAUCGACUGAAGAAAAAUCUGCGAGUUCAGGGUGCUGAUGUCAGGCCUGGAUCAAUGGCUACCCCACCUCUACUUCCUCAGCCCAGAUAUGGACACAGUCUACUAGAGGAGGCACGCCUCGAAAAAAGGGAGCUAGAGGAGGUUAUUGGUCAGCUUGAAGAUGAGGUCCAGGUGUUGGAAGAAGAGAAAAGAAUGCUAAAGCUGCAGCUUGAGCAGAAUGAAUUGGAGCACCAGGAAGAGUUGAACAGAGCAAGAGACCAACUGACAGGGAUGCAAAGGGGUAAUCUUCAAGAGAAUGUAGAGCUGAUCAAACUUCAGAGAGACGUUAAGGACAAGAUGACCAAAUUGCAAGCUGUGCAGGCCAAGUACCAAAGCCUAGAAGAGAACCUUGCUAAAGUAAAGAUCAGCCACUCCCAAGUUCUUGAUGAGAUGGAUAGCCUCAACACUAAGCUAAAGGAGGAGCAAACCAAGAAUAUGAUGUUGAAAAACGAAAUGAAGUCUAAAGGAAUUGCAGAGAAGUCGAUGACAGAGCAAGUACAGCUGAUCACUGAUCUGAAAGCAGAGAAUGAGAUUCUUAAAGAAGCCAAUGAAAAGCUUGUUAACAGUGCUUUCGAUGUUGACCGUGAGCAGCAGCACAGGAAUCGUUACAGGCAACAGGAGGUUGAGAUUGAGCAGCUUCGCGCAACACUCAACUCUGAUCUUAAAGAGAAGAAUGAAAUCCUUGAUAAGCUUAGUGAAGAAAGAGGAAAGGCUGAGAAGGUAGAAGAAGAGCUUCGCCAGUUACGAGUGCAACACUACACACUAAAGGAACAGUAUGAUGACCUCAGGGAAAAGAUGAAGUUUUUUACCAAAGAAAGUGCAGUUGAUUUCCAGGAAAUUGAAGAAGCCCUUGUUCUAAUCAAGCAAAGAAAGGAGAAAGGCAGUCAAGACCUUGACUUCUUGGAAAAGGUUGACGAUGAGAUUGGAAAAGAUGUCAAAAAACAGCACCAAGAGUUAAUGGCUGCACAUGCAGACACAGUGAACGAGCUGGAGAAGACGCGUAACAUGCUGAUCAUCCAGCACAAGAUUAAUAAAGACUACAAGACGGAGGUUGACCGGGUGACAAGGAAAAUGACUGAUGACAAGAAAGAGUAUGAUCUCAAAAUGCAAGAAUACGCCCAACUACUGGACAUCAGAGCAGAGCGAAUCAGGAAACUCGAGAGUCAAAUGCAUGACAUUGCAUAUGGAACGAAGCAGUACAAGGCAGUAUCGGGAACCGAGGAAUCUGAGUAUGAGGAGGUAGACAGUACACUGGAGCUGGAGAGAGGCCAGAACGUGUUCGAGAUUCACAUCGACAAGGUCGUAUUUAAUGACUCCUCGCGCGCAGAGUUUGAAGAUGCGGAACCAGUCACGUUUGUGACGUACGAGUUCUUUGAGCACGAGCUACAGGCCACACCCGUAUUAAAGGGAAUGAGGCCGCUGUUUAACUUCACUUCCCAGUAUUUGGUCAGAGUGGACGACUUUUUUCUUCAUUACCUUCAGAAGGAGUCGACACUUGUUGAACUGCAUCGAGCGUUUGGCACAGACUUCAAGACUAUCGCGGCAUGUCAGCUUCGAUUCCGAGAUCUCUUAGAGAAGUCCCAUGGACGAGUACACGGCUCCGCCAAGUUAAUAGGCAGGAGUCCGGGGACAGAAGGCACUGAAAUCGCUAGCAUGGAAUAUUGGGUGCGACUACGGGUUCCUAUGGACCAGGCCAUUCGUCUUUACAGGGAGCGUACUAAAGCGUUGGGUUACAUGGACUCAAAUGCAUACAAAGCUCUUGAAAAUGCCGGUCAUGGGGCGGAGAAGGCGCCAUUAGACAUCAAUGAGUUGGGCGUGCACAUUAUUAGAUGUACUGGAGUGAAGGCAAACAAUGAAGCGGUUCAGCCGAGUCCAUAUGCCGUGUACAAGUUUUUCGACUUUGCUGAUCAUGACACCAAAAUCAUCCCGAGCUCCAACAUGCCAGAGUUUAAUGACGUUAAAACAUUUCCUGUUCCCAUGACGACAGAACUUGAUAGCUACCUAAGAGCAGCGGUCCUGGAGGUUUACGUGUUCGAUGACAGUGACCCUGAUGUUGCUGCCUAUUUGGGUGUAGCCAAUGUACCUCUCAUCACACUUGCAAACGACAAGCCAAUCAAAGGGACCUUCACUCUGCAUAAGGCUUCAGGUUCCGAAAAUGGUACCGUCGAUGUAUUCUUGAGAUGGCGAUACACCUAUCUACCAGCUAGUGCCAAGCCUCGCGCGACCCCGCAGCGUCUGAUGGCUGUCCCUGCUGACGGAAGUCCGCCCAUCGACGAUGUCACCAUCCAGGACGAGCUUGCCAGACGAACCAUCGAUAGCAAUCACAUGGUAUCCACCCCAAAAUCCACAUCACCACCCAAGCGGGAUUCCUCGGCAACCCAGAACGAUGCACGAAUGAUCGAGAACGCGUCACGCGAUCAGCUCGAGUCACGCAAGGAUCAAGAAUCACACACAGAAAAGCCUCGGAAACACGCAAGACCGCGCACAGCAUCGCGGGAACGCAAUCAGGAAAUAGCAUCUGAACCAAACGGGGGCUCUUUAGAAGACAUGUCACAUGAUGAACUCGCCGUAGCAGCAAGCGAGAAACCCAAGCCCAAACCAAGAACCCGUACCAUCUCCCAAGCCAGUGAACCGGAUAAACCGGUGAAACCUGUUGAGGAAAUGUCCGUGGACGAGAUGAUACUAGCAGCGAAUGGAGACGCGCAACGCGAGCGGCCAGCAGACGAGAUAAAGGAGGAGAUUACAAAUGAGUUUGACGAUGAUGAGGAGGAGGAGGAGGGGCAUGAUGAAGAAGAGAAAGUGUCUUCUGAAGUCGAUAAGAGUGAUGAAGAGCGCGUAGCAGAGGAAAUGAGGCGUACGGCUGAGCAGGGAGAGCAAGCGGCCAGUGAUACAAUGUUUGAGGAAGAGCAUCACGAAUCUGACACGACACUUGGUGAUGACGUGGAUAUCCCGUUACCCGCGCGUAGACCCGUCAGUGAGUUGGAAGAAAGCGAGGGUGAGACGACGGAGAGUGAAGGACUUGUGGUGUCUCCAUCGCCUGCCAGACUAGCAACAGCUUCACAGCCCACCUAUACCAUAACGGUACAGAUCAGCAGCCUGAUGCUGCAUGACAACUCUCCCAUUCUGAGCAGUGACUCGGUCAAGCAGAUAUUCGUCGCCUACCGCUUCCUUGACUGUGACCCUGCCGAGCUUGAGACACCGAUGUCUCUCCCCAAGCCCCGCGCCGCGUACCGACCUCUCUCGUUUAACUUCAAGAAAGUUUUCCAUGUGGACCCUGAGACAAAUUCCCAGAAGAGAAACCAUCUGAUGUACAUGCUGACCCCUGAUAGUCCAACACAGGGCAGACUGGUGUUCACCGUUGUGAGUGACCCCCCGGAUCCUGACGAGGCUGACUGUAUGGAUGUCGCCUACGCUUUCGUGGACUUUGUCCAGAUACUACAAGAUGGAAGAGAUGUCAUCGACCAUCCCUUGCCGUUGUUCGACAUGUUAGAGGACAAGGGCGAGACGGGUACUUUGACUGUUACAGUACAGGCAUUCGAAGCGUUGCACAGCCUCUAUCAGUCAUGACCAUGGACUUAACUGUGACUGGAGGCAUUCGACGCGUUGCUCAGCCUCUAUCAGUCAUGACCAUGGACUUGAAUGUGACAGUAGAGGCAUUCGACGCGUUGCUCAGCCUCUAUCAGUCAUGACCAUGGACUUAACUGUGACUGGAGGCAUUCGACGCGUUUCUCAGCCUCUAUCAGUCAUGACCAUGGACUUAAGCUCAAGCUUUUUAUAUAAGAGGGAACGUGCUGAAAUUUCCUACACAAUAAGUUGCCCCACUAAGAUUUGUUGAUGACAUCUGACAAAAACAGAUAGGGUACUUUUGGGGUACAUGUUUGCAAGUAGGGCUAGGCCCAGCUGGUUCAUCCUCUAGGGCUAGGCCCAGCUGGUUCAUCCGCUAGGGCUAGGCCCAGCUGGUUCAUCCGCUAGGGCUAGGCCCAGCUGGUUCAUCCGCUAGGGCUAGGCCCAGCUGGUUCAUCCGCUAGGGAUAGGCCCAGCUGGUUCAUUCGCUGAUUACAAGUCUGAUAUGCCACUAGGGAAUAAGCUUAUUGAAAGCUUCCACUCAUACGAAAAGAAAAACAUCUGUCACUACUCAAAAUAGCAAACUAGAAAAACCUAUCUAAACAUCGUUAUGGAUUGUGAGGGGUCUGGAGAUGUGCAAGGCAUUGUGGGAAAACACUCUCCUUCCACAUCCCUAAUCACUAGGUUCUUGGAUCUUUGGUGAAUAUACCGUAUGUAAAAUAGAGCAUAAAUAAUAAUUUAUGGUGCAAAAUGCCUCCCCGUGAUAUUAUCGAAUAAAAUUUGUUUUAAAUAAUA